ACCAGACUCCUACGGGAGGCAGCAGUGGGGGAUAUUGCACAAUGGGGGGAACCCUGAUGCAGCGACGCCGCGUGGGUGAAGAAGCGCCUCGGCGCGUAAAGCCCUGUCAGCAGGGAAGAAAAUGACGGUACCUGAAGAAGAAGCCCCGGCUAACUACGUGCCAGCAGCCGCGGUAAUACGUAGGGGGCAAGCGUUAUCCGGAUUUACUGGGUGUAAAGGGGGCGCAGACGGCGAUGCAAGCCAGGAGUGAAAGCCCGGGGCCCAACCCCGGGACUGCUCUUGGAACUGCGUGGCUGGAGUGCAGGAGGGGCAGGCGGAAUUCCUGGUGUAGCGGUGAAAUGCGUAGAUAUCAGGAGGAACGCCGGUGGCGAAGGCGGCCUGCUGGACUGCAACUGACGUUGAGGCCCGAAAGCGUGGGGAGCAAACAGGAUUAGAUACCCGAGUAA
RNAcentral lists this ribosomal RNA (446 nucleotides) under uncultured bacterium. RNAcentral's name for it is "partial 16S ribosomal RNA". It matches the Rfam family "Bacterial small subunit ribosomal RNA", at positions 330 to 793 of the family's 1533-position model. The record is from RNAcentral.